This 711-nucleotide ribosomal RNA is filed under the name Meghimatium bilineatum. Its description in RNAcentral is "12S ribosomal RNA". Lineage: Eukaryota; Metazoa; Mollusca; Gastropoda; Stylommatophora; Philomycidae. The record is from RNAcentral.
ACUAUUUUAGUUUGGUAGAUUUCUUACCUCAUUUCUUAAAGGCUAUAGGAACUCCUGUGCGGCUAGCCGGUAAAUUUAUAUAUUAAAGCAAUUUAAAUAUAGUAAGUAUGAUAUAAGGAGCAAAUAUUGGUGCCAGCAGCUGCGGUCAUACCAAUCCUUAAGUAAGUACAGUCUUUAAAUUGAAUUAAUCUAAAUUAAAAAUUAAGGUGAAAUUUAUUUUUUAUAUAAAGUACACAGAUUAAAACAAAUAAAUAAAAGUAGAGCAAAAACUAGGAUUAGAUACCCUACUAUUCUCCUUUAAAACUAAUUUAAAGAGCAGUAAAUAUUAUAAAUAUGAAACUUAAAAAUUAUGGCAGUAAAAUUAAUAAUACAGGGGAACUUACUAAAUUAAUUCGAUAACCCCCGAGUCAGUCCACUUACUUUUAAAAUUUGUAUACCGCCGUUUAGGAGAUUAUUAAGUAGUCUUCUUUAUAAAGAAAAUAUUUAAAAAAACAGGUCAAGGUGCAAUCAAUAAGUUAGUUUUAGCGAGUUACAAUAAUAAUAAAAAUUCUUAGAUGUGAGGUAGAGCAUAUAUCUUAGAUGGACUUGUUAGUACUGAAUAAUUAAAAUUAAAUCAAGAAUUAUUUUAAUUUUGUGUACAAAUCGCCCGUCACUCUCCUUAAUUAAAAGGAGAUAAGUCGUAACACAGUAGGUGUAGCUGAAGCUGCCCCU